This 376-nucleotide ribosomal RNA is filed under the name uncultured bacterium. RNAcentral's name for it is "bacterial SSU rRNA". It matches the Rfam family "Bacterial small subunit ribosomal RNA", at positions 355 to 748 of the family's 1533-position model. The record is from RNAcentral.
UCGGGAAUUUUGGGCAAUGGGCGAAAAGCCUGACCCAGCAACGCCGCGUGAAGGAUGAAGUAUUUCGGUAUGUAAACUUCGUAAGAAUAGGAAGAAUAAAUGACGGUACUAUUUGUAAGGUCCGGCUAACUACGUGCCAGCAGCCGCGGUAAUACGUAGGGACCAAGCGUUGUUCGGAUUUACUGGGCGUAAAGGGCGCGUAGGCGGUGUGUCAAGUCAGUUGUGAAAUCUCCGAGCUUAACUCGGAACGGUCAACUGAUACUGUCACACUAGAGUACAGAAGGGGCAAUCGGAAUUCUUGGUGUAGCGGUGAAAUGCGUAGAUAUCAAGGGGACACCUGAGGCGAAGGCGGGUUGCUGGGCUGAUACUGACGCUG